Molecule: ribosomal RNA, 550 nt
Filed under: uncultured archaeon
Lineage: Archaea
Description: bacterial SSU rRNA
Rfam family: Archaeal small subunit ribosomal RNA
Source: RNAcentral
GGGCGCAGCAGGUGCGAAACCUCCACAAUGUACGAAAGUGCGAUGGGGGAAUCCUAAGUGCUGGCGCNAUGCGUCAGCUUUUCUCGAGUCUAAAUCGCUUGAGGAAUAAGUGGUGGGUAAGACCGCUGCCAGCCGCCGCGGUAAUAGCGGCGCCACAAGUGGCAUCCAUUUAUAUUGGGUUUAAAGCAUCCGUAGCCGGCCUGAUAAGUCUACUGUGAAAUCCUAUAGAAAACUAUAGGGCGUGCGGUAGAAACUAUUACGGCUUGGGACCAGGAGAGGUCAGAGGUACUCCUAGGGUAGCGGUAAAAUGCUGUAAUCCUAGGGGGACCACCUGUGGCGAAGGCGUCUGACUGGAAUGGAUCCGACGGUGAGGGAUGAAAGCUAGGGGAGCGACCCGGAUUAGAUACCCGGUUAGUCCUAGCUGUAAACGAUGCUCACUUGGUAUUGGAAAUCUUUCGUGGAUUUCCAGUGCCGAAGGGAAACCGUUAAGUGAGCCACCUGGGGAGUACGGUCGCAAGGCUGAAACUUAAAGGAANUUGGGCGGGGGAGC